CAGCAGCCGCGGUAAUACCAGCACCUCAAGUGGUCAGGAGGAUUAUUGGGCCUAAAGCAUCCGUAGCCUGGUGUAUUAGUUUUCGGUUAAAUCCAUAUGCUCAACAUAUGGGCUGCCGGGAAUACUGUACACCUAGGGAGUGGGAGAGGUAGACGGUACUCGGUAGGAAGGGGUAAAAUCCUUUGAUCUAUCGAUGACCACCUGUGGCGAAGGCGGUCUACCAGAACACGUCCGACGGUGAGGGAUGAAAGCUGGGGGAGCAAACCGGAUUAGAUACCCGGGUAGUCCCAGCUGUAAACAAUGCAAACUCAGUGAUGCACUGGCUUGUGGCCAGUGCAGUGCCGCAGGGAAGCCGUUAAGUUUGCCGCCUGGGAAGUACGUACGCAAGUAUGAAACUUAAAGGAAUUGGCGGGGGAGCACACAAGGGGUGAAGCCUGCGGUUCAAUUGGAGUCAACGCCAGAAAUCUUACCCGGAGAGACAGCAGAGUGAAGGUCAAGCUGAAGACUUUACCAGACAAGCUGAGAGGUGGUGCAUGGCCGUCGCCAGCUCGUGCCGUGAGAUGUCCUGUUAAGUCAGGUAACGAGCGAGAUCCCUACCUCUAGUUGCCACCAUUACUCUCAGGAGUAGUGGGGCGAAUUAGCGGGACCGCCGCAGUUAAUGCGGAGGAAGGAGGGGGCUACGGCAGGUCAGUAUGCCCCGAAACUCUGGGGCCACACGCGGGCUGCAAUGGUAACGACAAUGGGUUUCAAAUCCGAAAGGAGGAGGUAAUCCUCAAACGUUACCACAGUUAUGACUGAGGGCUGCAACUCGCCCUCACGAAUAUGGAAUCCCUAGUAACUGCGUGUCAUUACCGCGCGGUGAAUACGUCCCUGCUCCUUGCACACACCGCCCGU
RNAcentral lists this ribosomal RNA (894 nucleotides) under uncultured bacterium. Its description in RNAcentral is "bacterial SSU rRNA". It matches the Rfam family "Archaeal small subunit ribosomal RNA", at positions 459 to 1353 of the family's 1478-position model. The record is from RNAcentral.